Molecule: ribosomal RNA, 527 nt
Filed under: uncultured eukaryote
Lineage: Eukaryota
Description: SSU rRNA
Rfam family: Eukaryotic small subunit ribosomal RNA
Source: RNAcentral
GUAACGAGUACAGAGAAUCAGGUUUGGUUCUGGAGAGGCCGCCUGAGAAACGGCGACCACUUCCAAGGAAGGCAGCAGGCGCGCAAAUUACCCACUCUCAAAAUGAGGAGGUAGUGAAGAGAAAUAACGAUGUUAGUCUUUUUCAAGGCUGACAAUCGGAAUGGGAACACUGUAAAAAGGUUAUCGAUUAACAAUUGGAGGGCAAGUCUGGUGCCAGCAGCCGCGGUAAUUCCAGCUCCAAUAAGGAAAACUAAAGUUGCUGUGUUUAAAAAGCUCGUAGUUGAAUUUCGGGUAUUUGUUGCUAGUUGGUCUAACUGGCCAUAUUGGUUAACAGAUCCUCAUUUGCUGGACGGCUGGCGAUGAUCUUUAUCGAUUGUCGUCAGUUGCCAGAACGUUUACUUUGAGAAAAUUAGAGUGCUAAAAGCAGGCUCACGCCUAUAUAUAUUGCAUGGAAUAAUGAAAUAAGAUCUCGAUUUUAUUUCGUUGGUUUUAGAAAUUGAGAUAAUGAUUAAUAGGAUCAGAGGGGG